Molecule: long non-coding RNA, 651 nt
Filed under: Homo sapiens (human)
Lineage: Eukaryota; Metazoa; Chordata; Mammalia; Primates; Hominidae
Description: HSALNT0321806
Source: RNAcentral
CGGUGUGAAGACACAGGAAUACGACAUAACAACAGAUACAGAGCCUGGAGUAAUGACAGUACAAGUCAAGGAACACCAAGGAUCACCAGCUGCCACCCAACCCAGGAAGAGGAUUUUGCUCCUCAAGUCAUUGUACUUUGGUACCUACGAAUUUCAACCUUGUCCUUCAUACCCCGUGGGUGUGAAGAUUCCUGGCAGGACUCUAUUUCCACGCUGCAACUAGUAUCUUUCAGAGCCACCCGGUGAAUGGAACUGAAAUGCUACAGGAGUUUGCUUUGGGAUGCUGCAGUGCUGCUAAUGGCUGAGGGCAUCACUGAGAUGUUCUGUAACUCACUGCAGGCGAGAUGCCGCUUCAGUAUCCCAUACCUUUGGCUGCUCUUCGUCUACUAUACCUCCUCACACUUCUCCCAGUCACCUUUCCAGCAGCUGUGAUUCCAGCUGAUUUUGGCCACCCACAUUGAUCUGGACAGGAUGCCUCUCAGAUGGAGUCUCCUCAGCCGCCCAGGUUGGAGUGCAGUGGCGUGAUCUCAGCUCACUGCAACCACUGUCUCCCGGGUUCAAUAGAUUCUCCCAACUCAGCCUCCCGAGUAGCUGGGAUUACAGGCACCUGCCAUCAUGCCUGGCUAAUUAGAGAAUAACUUUUUACAGGAC